CCGGCGACCGGCGCACGGGUGAGUAACACGUAUGCAACCUGCCCUCCGCAGGGGGAUAACCCGGAGAAAUCCGGACUAAUACCGCGUGGUACAUCUGUGGGGCAUCCCACGGGUGUUAAAAGGAAGCGAUUCCGGCGGAGGAUGGGCAUGCGGCGCAUUAGCUAGUUGGCGGGGUAACGGCCCACCAAGGCGACGAUGCAUAGGGGUUCUGAGAGGAAGGUCCCCCACACUGGUACUGAGACACGGACCAGACUCCUACGGGAGGCAGCAG
Molecule: ribosomal RNA, 271 nt
Filed under: uncultured bacterium
Lineage: Bacteria
Description: partial 16S ribosomal RNA
Rfam family: Bacterial small subunit ribosomal RNA
Source: RNAcentral